GCCCGGGUGGUGAAAUUGGUAGACGCAGGGGACUCARAAUCCCCCGCCGCAAGGCGUGCCGGUUCGAUUCCGGCCCCGGGCACCA
Molecule: transfer RNA, 85 nt
Filed under: Alcaligenes faecalis
Lineage: Bacteria; Pseudomonadati; Pseudomonadota; Betaproteobacteria; Burkholderiales; Alcaligenaceae
Description: tRNA-Leu
Rfam family: tRNA
About the family: Transfer RNA (tRNA) molecules are approximately 80 nucleotides in length. Their secondary structure includes four short double-helical elements and three loops (D, anti-codon, and T loops).
Source: RNAcentral